AAGCAAAUAGGUUGGAGAUGAUGUUGUGACGGAGUUUGAUCCUUCUCAAUUAUUUGCUCCAAUUCCUCACAGUCAGCUAUAUGCAACCACGACAAUUGUGGCAAAUUUCGAGCGAUGGUAGGUGAGAAGAUGUAUCUUAACCUUCUGCAAUUGCGGACUUGCAAUCGAGUGAGAUUUUGAAAGUGUUCAACUUGAAUGGGACCACUCCAUAUCACCCGCAAUUCAGUUAGUUUGGACAACGUUAGCUUCUCCAGACUUGAAAGAUUAUAUCUAGGAUAUUCAAAUAACUCUUCAAAAUUGGAAAUUGAUGUUCCUCCUCUCCUUUCAGGGACUGUCACGUUGCUUAUUUGCUUCUUUUCUAUCAUCUUCGAAAAGUACAAUACCUAUAAACAUAUCAUCAAUUUAAGAAUAAGCACAAGAUUUCUUUUUCAAUCUUUUCUAGUCAAAGAAUUCAAAUUUUUAAAAAGUUUACUGUUCAACUCAAAUACAUAUAAUUAAGAUCAUACAUUACCAAAAAAAAAAUCACAAAAAAUAAAAUCUCCAAAAAUAUGGUGCAAAAACACAACAUAAAUAAUAUUACGUAGUACUAGAUAGUGGUUGCAAUAUAUAUAUAUAUAUAUAUAUAUAUAUAUAAGAAACUAAAAUGUCUUAAAUGUCUCAUAUAGAUUAUAAAAGUAUUCAGUUGAAAUGUUAUUUAUGUUACUAAUUGGUAUUGUAAUUAACUAAACUACUUAACGGUUUAUUUAGAUUAGUUUUUAGACCAAAAUUCUACAAUGAAAACUAUUUUUUAAAGAGUUAUACAAGCAUUUAUUUAUUUUAUACAGAAAAAAUCAAAAGGUGAAAAUUUGAAUAAAUAAUAUAUAUAAGGUGGUCUUACCUGUAUAUUAGUUGAAACGAUAAUAGGUGUCAAUUGAGGACAAUCUCUCACUUUUAACAAGUGUAAAGAUGCCGAUGUCAGCACAAUGUAGUUUCUCUCCCUUCCUUUCAAUUGAGGCAAAUUAAUCAACUCAACGUUUUUCAAUCGUGCAAGACCUUGAGACAUUGAGAUUAACACUUCAUCUGGUCCUUGGAUUAUUUCUUGUAAUUGGGAACAACUCUCUAUCGUCAGAGUUUGCAAUUGCCCAAGACUAUUAGCAACACACAUUGGGAAGAGAAAUUUCAACUUAUUGCAUUCUGUGACUCGUACUUCCCUUAGGCAUUGGAAGCUUAUGGUUGAUACUUGUGAGUCUUGGAUUAUUUCUUCCAUUCCAAAGCACCUCUCUAUCAUCAGAGUUUGCAAUUGCCCAAGACUAUUAGCAACACACAUUGGGAAGAGAAAUUUCAACUUAUUGCAUUUUGUGACUUGUACUUCCCUUAGGCAUUGGAAGCUUAUGGUUGAUACUUGUGAAUCUUGGAUUAUUUCUUCCAUUCUAAAGCACCUCUCUAUCCUCAGAGUUUGCAAAUUGGGCGCGUUUAGUUGUUUAGAGCUACCUUGGGCAACAAUAAUUGGAAAGAGAGAUUUCAAGCUUUUACAUUGCAAGAUAUCAAGUAGAAUCAGAUUUGGAAAGCAAAGAGGUAGGGGAUGAUGUUGUGAUGACGUUUGAUAUUGCUCCAAUUCCUCAUAUUUACAUGAAUGCAAAUUGCUCAAUUGUGCAUUUGUCAUCUUCCCAAUCACCAAUUCCUAUAAACAUAUCAUCAAUUUUCAAUUUCAAAAUGUUCAAAGAUGUCAACAGCUAACUUAACAUUUCAUCAAUUAAUUUCCUUACAAAAAAAAAUUAUUUUACCUUAAAUCAAUAUUAUACUCCAAAAAUGUGGUACAAAAACAGUCAUAAAUAAUAUCACAUAAUCUGUACAUAUAAAUUAUUUGACAGGUGUAACAACGCAAUUGGGAAUUACUUCAACUCAUUUUCAUAUAUUAAUACAAAAAUUAAAAACCACCUGUGUAAAAGGCUAUAUUUAAAAAAAAAUUAAAUAUAUUUUUUUCUAGUUUAUUUUUUAAUACAAAUUCUAAAAUCAUCCAUAAUUCCUUCCCACAUUUAAAUAGAAAGAUACACGUGCUUGAGUGCACUCGAACCUACAUCCUCCUAUUCAGACAACAAUAUUGAUACCAACCAAACUAAAACUUAUAUAUAAUUUUAUAUAGCUUACUUUUGUUUACCCACAUAAUAGGUAUAAUAUAAUUUAGUAUUAGAUAAAUAGUUUGCAACAUAUCUAAAACAUAAAGUUUGGAUAAUAUUUUUUUUUUGAAAAUUUUAUUAAUCUUAUUAUAUGGUAUUAUAAUAAACUAAUUUGUUUAAAAGGUUAUUUAGAUUAGUUUUAGACCAAAAUUAUAAAAUAAAAUCUAUCUUUUAAACAACUAUUCAAACAACAAAUUAUUAAAGAAAAAAUAAACAAAUAAAUAAUAAACAAAAAAAAUCUUACUUGUAUCGUAGUCAAAAUAAUAAAAUGUGUCAAUUGAGGACAAUUGUGCACUUUUUAACUUCUGCAAAGACGAUUGCGUGAGCAUAAUGUCGUUCACGUCCCUUCCUUUCAAUUGAGGCAAAUCAAUCAACGAAACCUAAAAUGAAAAGCAUAAUCAAAUUUCCCAAUCUUUGACCAUAGGACGAUAAGGAAAAGAAAAGUUAUUGCAGUGAGAUACACAUACUUCCCUUAGACUUUGGAGUAGACAUUUGUAUGCCACUUGUCGGUCUUGGAUUAUAUCUUCCAAUUGCGAGCAACUCUCUAUCUUCAAAGUAUGCAAUUGCCCAAGGCUAUUAGCAACUGACAUUGGGAAGAUAUAUUUCAAAUUAUUGCUUCUCCAUAUUUUAACAAUCUUCAGACUUUGGAGGCUUAAAUAACGACUGGGCCCUUCUUGUUCUAUGCUCCUCAAUUCAGCAAUUGGGAAUAACACUUGCAUCUCACUACAACCUGAAACUAUAACCUCUUCAAGCUUUUGUAAAAAACCUUGCGGCUGGGGAGCAUUGCACAUCUCUUCCAAAUGAAACAUACGACUUAAUGAUAACUUUCUCAAAUUAGAGAGUGCAGUGAUUGGCACUUGCUGCUUUGAUGCAUCAAUUAAGCAUUGCAUAGACUGGCACCCUCGAAGAUCUAGAGAAGUCAACUUUCUAAAUCCCAAGUCCAAGCUCGGAAUAAGGUUUGGGUGACCCUCCACAUAACCCAAUUCAAGAGAUUCUACAUCUUCAAGUAGUUGCUUGCAUGCAUCUACAGACUCAUCGAUUCUCAACAUAAAUCUUAUCAUCUUCAGGAAAUAAAGAGCACAACAAGAAACAUGUCUUUGUCUCCAUAUUCUUCAAGUAGUCGAAGCUCGCCUCAAGACANNNNNNNNNNNNNNNNNNNNNNNNNNNNNNNNNNNNNNNNNNNNNNNNNNNNNNNNNNNNNNNNNNNNNNNNNNNNNNNNNNNNNNNNNNNNNNNNNNNNAUCUUUGAGUCUCCGGUAUGCAGCUUGCCACUCAUAAUGGGUUUUACCUUUCAAGGCACUUCCCAGUGGAACUAUAGCUAUAGGCAAACCCCCGCAUUUUUUGCCAAUUUGAUUUGCUCGGAUUUUAAUAGAAUCAUCAGAAAAGUCAUCUAGACCUGCUUUCUUUUCAAACAGAGUCCUAGCUUCAUCAUCAUUCAAACAGCCAAGUUGUACCAGGUUUUGACAAUCCAUAGCUUGACAUACUUGUUGACGGCGUGUUGUUAAAAGAACUUUGCAGCCUUUAUGAUCAUCCCCAAUUGGAAUUCCAAUCUUCUCCUUUAAGUUGAUGGAUUCCCAAAUAUCAUCAAGGAUGAUAAGAAUCCUCGGUUCAUUCUUCAGCCUUAACCAUAAUUCUUGCUCGGAUCUUCUUCCUUGUUCAUUCUUCAUAUCAAAGCCUAUGUAUUGUGCAAUUUCAUCUUCAAUUUUCUCAAAAUUUGGCUUUUGAGACACAACCGUUAUCACAACUUUGUCAAACAAUUUCAGUUUUUGAGCUUGACUUCCAACUUCACGAGCCAGGGUGGUCUUGCCCACCCCUCCCAUCCCCCACAACCCAAUCAUGUUGAUAUUCUCAUCUUUUAAGGCUUCAAUGAUUUGAUAAAAUGCAGUCUCUGAAGAUUUCGAAAACACAAAUUCCUUAGAACAUAGGAAAUCUAUGGUGGGAAGGGCAGUAGGUGCAGGGUAACCGACGGGUCCAAGUUGACCAAAUUUGUCCAAAAGCUCAGAGAUAUCCUGGAUUUUCUUCAUUGCUUUCUUGCUUAAUUGAUAUCUCCAACUCCAAUUAGGGCACCAAUUGAGACACCUCUUAUUCAGUUGGAUUUCCUCAUCCAGAGUUCCCAUAUCAGACAGUGUUUCGUCUGCCCUUGAUUGCAAGUUCUGUACAUCAUCUUCAAUUAGUAGAAGCCGGUUUUUAGCUUCCUCAAUCUUAAGUAGUAGACGCUUUCGUGCAUCUGCAAGUUCACGCUUUUUCUCUCGAAGCUUUUCAACAUUGUCAUGAAAGCGACAGACAUAAUCAAGUUGACGUCCUACCGGCUUCACCACACAGUUCACAACCAGUGUUCCAACUGUGUUAGAAAGAGCAGCCUCGCAAAAUCCGCAACCCAUGAUUGACAAGCUCAUGUUCCAAGUUCAAACACUGUAGUGAAUCAUAAGUAAUUACCAUAAAAAAAUUUAAAGAAUCAAAAAGUGUUUUGAAGAUUAAGACACUACUUCUUAUACAUACCAAGGAUGGUGAAAGACAACUCAACCUAUGAGAAUCAAUGAGCUGUUCUUUCAACUCAGUCCAGCUGAAAACACAAUGAGAAAUUUAAUAAACAAAUAAAAUCAUAUACGAGUGUAAUGUCAUAUAAUUAUAACUAAAACAGACAGUUAAUUACUUAUAAAAAUAAGAAUUCAAAAUAUUUUUACCCUCACAGUAACAAUAUUAUAGAUAUAAUGCUGGAAAAUAUAAUAAACAUAUCCACUUACCAUUUCAAAAUCCAAACAGUCUUUUAGCUCUUACUUGCUUCAAGAAAAACAUAAAAAGAUGAGAUGAGAUAUAAAAAACAGAAAUGAAGCAUAUAUAAAUAGAUUUACCUCACUUGGGAUCUUUUAAAAUCAAACUACACUUAGGGAUCAGAAUAUUCUUACUUCAAAACAAUCAAAAGGGAGGGAUUUGAAGGUUGGUUUUGUUUUUAGCAAAAGUAAGUAAAACUGAAUACAAAAAGAAGGAACUUGAAGAAAGGGGGAAAAAAACAAAGUAGAAAUUGAAGUUUAUCUGCCUGGAAAAUUCAACCGCUGGGAAAAUUUUACUAUUUCACUAUGACCUCUGAAUCCCUACGAUGCUCCGCCACGAAAACCUGAGUUUUCUUGUAGACAAACAAAGACAUGACAGGAUAGGAGAAAACUUAACAAAAAGGUGGGAGUCUUCGGGUCAUAUUUUUACCCUGGUUUGCUCUAUUAUAAAAGAGUUAAUUACUUCAACCAUCUCUAAAUUAUGACUACCAAUUUAAAUUGGUCCCCAAACUUCAAUUUAUUCUAAUUACAUCUCCAAAUUAUCGAUGCUAUAUCAAUCAAGUCCUUUUAUUAUUACGAUCGUUAAAUGACACAUCAAAUCUUAUGUAGCUAAAUUUAAAAUAAAAAAUUUAAAGAAAUAGAAUCAUAUUACAUAACUUUUAAAAUUAAAAACAAAAAUUAAGUAAAAUUGAAAUUAAAAAAAAGUGAAUGAUAAAACUUUCAUAAAAACUUCCAAAACCUUAAAACUAGGGUUUUUAAAACAUUUAUUUUUAAAAUAUUCAUUUCUUAAAAUAUUAUAUCACAUUAGAUGUAACAUGUCAUUUAACAAUUAAACUGGGUAAAACGACUUCUGUAGUCUCUCUCUCAAUUUUGAUAUUAACUAAAUUGGUCCCUUUAAAAAAUCAAAUUAAUUUUGUAAGUAAGCAAAUAACGCGUUCUAUUAAUUUGAUCACGAUUUAACAAAUUUAACCCGCAAUAUUUUUGUAAAUGCAUAAAUAUUGAGACAAAAUUUGUUGAUUUUAUUUACAAGUAAGACCAAACUAACAAAAUAUGUAAAUACUAAUGGCUAAAUCUGUUAUUAUACCAAUCAAAACUAUGCAUAAUUGAUAAGGAUUUAGUUACUAAUUGUCUAAAUUGACAAGGAUUUAGUUACUAACAUUAAAUUAUUCCUUUUUUUUUAGGGAGACUUAUUUACACAAAUUCAAAAUUGUGAGCGGUUGGAGAGAUUUUUUUACUAUCAAAUUAAUAAUUUUGGUAACAUUUUUUUUAAAAUGUUAAAAUUUCCAUUCCUCGAAAUUAACAAUAAAUAAGAAUAGGCUUUUCAAAAAUUCGUAAAAAUACAGAAUUUUCAAUGUUGAAAUCAUGGAUUUGGCUAUGGAAACCCCUAUUAUUUCCUUAAUAAUAAUUUGUUUAUAAAUAUAAUUUUAAUAUAAAAGAUUUUCAUUCACUCGAGUAGUGUGAUAAAAUCUAAUAGAUAUAGAAUUGAUUUCUCUAUUUUAUUUAAAUACAAGUAUUGCAUAGAAUUGGGUAGAAAAGUAUAAAUGAAAGCAAGACUCGAUUGAGAAGCUGUUAUUUCAUUUUAUCAUUUCAUAUUAGUUGAUAAAAUCAUAUAUACAAUUCGAGUGUAAAGGGAUAUGAUUAUAAAUUGGAAGGAUAUAUUACAUUAUUACACAGAUAAAUAUAAUUCUAAUGAUUAAAAUUAAUUAAACUAAGUCUAUGUACUUUUUAUUAAUUUAUUUAAAUUUGAAAAUAAUUAAAAUUAAAAACUACCCAUAGUAAUUGUUAAGUUUUUAUCUCUACUAAAUUUUGGUUUAUUGAGUUAGAGUGACACUAUGACUCGCUCUCAUAUAUAUACAUUAUAGAUGAUAGAUUAUAUAUAUUAUAUAUAACGCAUUUGAUUAAAUUGGUGUCACGAGUUAAUUAGACACUAAUUCGAUCGUAAAAUAAUUAAAAUACCUUUACUUUAAAAAAUAACUAAUAUUAUUUUAAUAUUAAUAUAAAGGUAUUUUUAUCUUUUCAUACUUUUAUUUAAUAUUCAAAUAAAACAACUUAAAAAUAUUAUUUAAGAAUCAAACACAAAACCAGUUGAAAUAUUUUUAUAAAUAUACUUUUAAUAUAAAAUAUUUCCGUUUGUGAUAAAGUCUAGUAGAUAUAGAGUUUCUCUAUUUUAUUUAAUGAAAUGAACUUUAUAGCUUUUAUUUCAUUUUGUUUGUUUUAUUUUUGUCAAUUCAUUUAAAUUUAUAAAAUUAAGAGUGAGUAAAACUCGAUUCGAUUCGAAAAGAUUGAAUUUUAAGUUAAUUGAAUCGAUUUAAAUUUUACAAUUUGAAUUUUAUAAAAAAUCACAAUUAAAAUUAUAUAUAAGAAAGAAAUGGCGUUCAAUUAUAUAAAAAAUCACAAUUAAAAUCACAAGUAGGCGUAUCACUUUCUCUUCUUCCUCAUUCAGAUUUGUCUCAUCUCCUUCAAACACCUGCUCUAAUUUGGAGACCUGUCUAAGGCAUAAUCCACUUAGUUUUGGAAGGCCGCCAUGAACAAGAGGAAUCGGGAAGAGACAUUUCAAGUUUUCACAGUUAAUGAUUGUAAUCUGCUUCAAAUUAGGGAAGCAAAUAGGAUGGAGAUGAUGUUGUGAUGGAGUUCGAUGCUUCUCAAUUAUUUGCUCCAAUUCCUCACAGUUAAAUAUACCCAACCUGGAUAACUGUAGCAAAUUUCGAGCGAUAGUAGGUGAGAAGAUGUAUCUUAACCUUCUGUAAUCUUGAACCGUCAAUUGACAGAGAUUUUGAAAGUAUUCAACUUGGAUGGGAGCACUCCAUAUCACCCGCAGUUCAGUUAGUUCGGACAAGUUUAAGAUCUUCAGACUUACAUCUAAA
This 7790-nucleotide long non-coding RNA is filed under the name Gossypium raimondii (Peruvian cotton). RNAcentral describes it as "long non-coding RNA (GRAI_LNC007592)". The record is from RNAcentral. Lineage: Eukaryota; Viridiplantae; Streptophyta; Magnoliopsida; Malvales; Malvaceae.